This 839-nucleotide ribosomal RNA is filed under the name uncultured archaeon. RNAcentral describes it as "bacterial SSU rRNA". It matches the Rfam family "Archaeal small subunit ribosomal RNA", at positions 21 to 859 of the family's 1478-position model. The record is from RNAcentral.
AGGUUACUGCUAUCGGUGUUCGCCUAAGCCAUGCGAGUCAUAUGUUCUUCGUGAACAUGGCGUACUGCUCAGUAACACGUGGAUAACCUGCCCUUGGGUCCGGCAUAACCCCGGGAAACUGGGGAUAAUUCCGGAUAACGCACAUAUGCUGGAAUGCUUUUUGCGUAAAAUGGAUUCGUCUGCCCAAGGAUGGGUCUGCGGCCUAUCAGGUAGUAGUGGGUGUAAUGUACCUACUAGCCUACGACGGGUACGGGUUGUGAGAGCAAGAGCCCGGAGAUGGAUUCUGAGACAUGAAUCCAGGCCCUACGGGGCGCAGCAGGCGCGAAAACUUUACAAUGCGGGAAACCGUGAUAAGGGGACACCGAGUGCCAGCAUCCUAUGCUGGCUGUCCGGGUGUGUAAAAUACACCUGUUAGCAAGGGCCGGGCAAGACCGGUGCCAGCCGCCGCGGUAACACCGGCGGCCCGAGUGGUGAUCGUGAUUAUUGGGUCUAAAGGGUCCGUAGCCGGUUUGGUCAGUCCUCCGGGAAAUCUGACAGCUUAACUGUUAGGCUUUCGGAGGAUACUGCCAGACUUGGAACCGGGAGAGGUAAGAGGUACUACAGGGGUAGGAGUGAAAUCUUGUAAUCCCUGUGGGACCACCUGUGGCGAAGGCGUCUUACCAGAACGGGUUCGACGGUGAGGGACGAAAGCUGGGGGCACGAACCGGAUUAGAUACCCGGGUAGUCCCAGCCGUAAACGAUGCUCGCUAGGUGUCAGGCAUGGCGCGACCGUGUCUGGUGCCGCAGGGAAGCCGUGAAGCGAGCCACCUGGGAAGUACGGCCGCAAGGCUGAAACUUAA